CUCGUAGCUUGCUAUGAGAACAAUUAAUGGCAGACGGGUGAGUAAUGCAUAGGAAUCUACCUAGUAGUAUAGGAUAGCCACUAGAAAUGGUGGGUAAUACUGUAUAAUCCCUGCGGGGGAAAGAUUUAUCGCUACAUGAUGAGCCUAUGUUAGAUUAGCUAGUUGGUGGGGUAAUGGCCUACCAAGGCAGUGAUCUAUAGCUGGUCUGAGAGGAUGAUCAGCCACACUGGAACUGAGACACGGUCCAGACUCCUACGGGAGGCAGCAGUGGGGAAUAUUGGACAAUGGGCGCAAGCCUGAUCCAGCUAUGCCGCGUGAGUGAGGAAGGCCUUAGGGUUGUAAAACUCUUUCAGUGGGGAAGAUAAUGACGGUACCCACAGAAGAAGUCCCGGCAAACUCCGUGCCAGCAGCCGCGGUAAUACGGAGGGGGCAAGCGUUGUUCGGAAUUAUUGGGCGUAAAGGGCAUGUAGGUGGUUUGGUAAGUUAAAGGUGAAAUGCCAGGGCUUAACCCUGGAGCUGCUUUUAAUACUGCCAGACUGGAGUCCGGGAGA
Molecule: ribosomal RNA, 551 nt
Filed under: Anaplasma bovis
Lineage: Bacteria; Pseudomonadati; Pseudomonadota; Alphaproteobacteria; Rickettsiales; Anaplasmataceae
Description: bacterial SSU rRNA
Rfam family: Bacterial small subunit ribosomal RNA
Source: RNAcentral